AGCGAACGCUGGCGGCAGGCCUAACACAUGCAAGUCGAACGAGCCCUUCGGGGCUAGUGGCGGACGGGUGAGUAACACGUGGGAACGUGCCUUUUGGUUCGGAACAACUCAGGGAAACUUGAGCUAAUACCGAAUGUGCCCUUCGGGGAAAGGAUUUAUCGCCAUUAGAGCGGCCCGCGUCUGAUUAGCUAGCUGGUGAG
This 200-nucleotide ribosomal RNA is filed under the name uncultured bacterium. RNAcentral's name for it is "partial 16S ribosomal RNA". It matches the Rfam family "Bacterial small subunit ribosomal RNA", at positions 29 to 256 of the family's 1533-position model. The record is from RNAcentral.